UUUGAAAGUCACCUUGAUGUUGCAUCUGUGUGUUUUAUCAGUUUCUUUAUGAAAAUAUAUAGUGAACUCCAUGACAGUAGCUAAAGCAAGGGGCUAUUAGCAGCACACAAGUAGACUAGAAGUGCAUGCUGGGAUGGGCUGGCCUGAGCUCGAGUGAGAGCUACUGGAGCGAAAUUGCCUUUUUAGGAAUCUCACUCUGUACUCCAGUCAAAUUGGGCACCUUUUGCUCCUCGCUCCAGCGCCGCUCCGCUCACAUACUAUGGUCCAAAUAGAAUAGCUGUCACGUUUGUUUAAAGAUGGAUUGGACCAAGGUGCAGUGUGGUAGGCAUACAUUUUACUUUUAUUUAAAUGACACCGAAAAAAAAAAAAAAAUACAAAAACAAACGUAAAGCUACAUGCCGUGCAGAAAGCAACUACACACAAACAAAAUCCCACAAAUUAAAGGUGGAAAAAAUGCUGCCUAAGUAUGAUCCCCAAUCAGAGACAACGAUAGACAGCUGCCUCUGAUUGGGAACCAUACCCGGCCAACAAAGAAAUAGAAAAACUAGAAUGCCCACCCAAAUCACACCCCGACCUAACCAAAUAGAGAAAUAAAAAGGCUCUCUAAGGUCAGGGCGUGACAGUAGCUGUCGCUAGGUCACAUCACAGCACUUUAGGAAUCUUUAUUGUGGCACUAACUGAUACUUUCAUAUUUCGCUAUUGUUGUCAUUAUUAUAUUUUUCCUGCCUUACAUUCUGCACAUUUGAAGAGAGACAUGAAUGCAUCUUGUAAGCACUAUAAUGAGUCUACUCCCUCCUACAGUAUGAAUGGCUGGGAAUCAAACAUCUUAGAAAAUACAGUACAACCUGACGACCCAGUGACACAUGGUAUUUCUAAAGCUGCCCACUAAAAAUUCCCUUCCUACCCUCCUGACCUCAACUACUGUGCACUACUACAGGGGCUGCAGGACUAGUGCACUACUACAGCGGCCAUAGGACUAGUGCACUACUACUACUACUACUACAGGGGCCAUACGACUCUGGUCAAAAGUAGUUUACUAUAGAGGGAAUAGGGUGCCAUUUGGGAUGCAUGUCCAAGUCACUACACCUUUCUACAUGACUGAAAGAGAGGCUCGAUGGCGUGGGUGGACUGUGAAUCUGUGCCCUAAGACCCUCCCCCUCCUGCCCCUCCUCCCCCACCUACCCAUCCUCCCCUUACCAACCCUCAUGCCCACACGACCCUCCUGAAUCUCCUGCACCUUUUCCCCCUCCUGCCCCUUCUGCCCCUCCUGUCCCUCCUCUCCCUCCUGACCUUCUUCCAUCACCUGACCCUCCUUCCCUUCCUGCCCCUCCUUCCCCUCUUGACUCUCCUCCACCUCUGCCCCCUCCUUCUCCUUCUGCUCCCCGACCCUCCUCCCUCUCCUGACCCUCUUCCCUCUUUUGACUCUCCGGACCCUCGUCCCCCUCCUGACCCUUUUGACCUCAUCCCCCUGACCCUCCUGACCCUCCUCCUUCUCCUGACCCUUCUGCUAACCCGACCAUCCUGCCCCUCCUGCCCCUCCUGCCCCCCAACUCUCCUCCAUCUCCUCCCCCUUCUCCUCCUGCCCCCUGCCCCUCCUCCCCCUCCUGACCCUCCUCCAUCUCCUGACCCUCCUUUCCCUCCUAACCCUCCUCCCCCUCCUGACCCUCCUCCACCUCCGCCCCCUCCUUCUCCUUCUGCUCCCCGACCCUCUUCCAUCUCCUGACCCUCCUGACCCUCCUCCAUCUCCUCCCCCCUCCUGACCGUCCUCCAUCCCCUGCCUCUCCUCCUUCUCCUCACCCUCCUCCCCCUCCUGACCCUCCUCCCCC
Oncorhynchus tshawytscha (Chinook salmon) is the source of this 1826-nucleotide long non-coding RNA. Lineage: Eukaryota; Metazoa; Chordata; Actinopteri; Salmoniformes; Salmonidae. The record is from Ensembl.